AUUUCUGGUGGCUGCUGCCGAAUACCAGCCCUGGAAAAGGCUGCAAAGAGAGGAUCCUCACCAAGGCUGUAGAAAAAGAAUCUUUUAAGAGCGUUAUCUAUCUAUCGACGCACGUUCAGGCCCUGACGGUGACCUGGAGCUGCGCUGCCUCUCCAUCACCCAGGAAAUGACAGGGUCGCGAGGAGUCUGAAGCGCCUCCCAGUUCUGCCCGUGGAUUCCUGACCAUUGUCUGGAUUUGGUAGGCUGGAGCGGGUCCAUGUC
RNAcentral lists this long non-coding RNA (261 nucleotides) under Cavia porcellus (domestic guinea pig). RNAcentral describes it as "lncRNA (ENSCPOG00000039070.1)". The record is from RNAcentral. Lineage: Eukaryota; Metazoa; Chordata; Mammalia; Rodentia; Caviidae.